RNAcentral lists this ribosomal RNA (442 nucleotides) under uncultured bacterium. RNAcentral's name for it is "partial 16S ribosomal RNA". It matches the Rfam family "Bacterial small subunit ribosomal RNA", at positions 338 to 795 of the family's 1533-position model. The record is from RNAcentral.
CCUACGGGCGGCAGCAGUGGGGAAUAUUGGGCAAUGGGCGCAAGCCUGACCCAGCAACGCCGCGUGAAGGAAGAAGGCGUUCGGGGUGUAAACUUCUUUUGACAGGGAAGAGGAGAAGACGGUACCUGGCGAAUAAGCCACGGCUAACUACGGGCCAGCAGCCGCGGUAAUACGUAGGUGGCAAGCGGUGUCCGGAUUUACUGGGUGUAAAGGGCGUGUAGCCGGGUUGACAAGUCAGAUGGGAAAUCCUGCGGCUUAACCGCAGAACUGCAUUGGAAACGGUUGAUCUUGAGUACUGGAGAGGCAGUCGGCAUUCCUCGUGUCGCGGUUAACUGCGUCGCUCUUAGGCGGCACCCCAGUGGCGACGGCGGUCUGCUGGACAGCAACUGACGGUGAGGCGCGCACGCGUGGGGAGCAAACCGGCUUAGCUACCCGUGUCGUC